RNAcentral lists this ribosomal RNA (635 nucleotides) under uncultured Sulfurimonas sp. RNAcentral describes it as "bacterial SSU rRNA". It matches the Rfam family "Bacterial small subunit ribosomal RNA", at positions 747 to 1380 of the family's 1533-position model. The record is from RNAcentral. Lineage: Bacteria; Pseudomonadati; Campylobacterota; Epsilonproteobacteria; Campylobacterales; Sulfurimonadaceae.
UAAGGCGUGAAAGCGUGGGGAGCAAACAGGAUUAGAUACCCUGGUAGUCCACGCCGUAAACGAUGAACACUAGUGGUCGGGAUGCUAGUCAUCUCGGUGAUGCACUUAACAGAUUAAGUGUUCCGCCUGGGGAGUACGGUCGCAAGAUUCAAACUCAAAGGAAUAGACGGGGACCCGCACAAGUGGUGGAGCAUGUGGUUUAAUUCGAAGAUACGCGAAAAACCUUCCCUAGCCUUGACAGUGAUAGAAUGCCCUAGAGAUAGAGUAGUGCCCUUCGGGGAACUUGAAAACAGGUGCUGCACGGCUGUCGUCAGCUCGUGUCGUGAGAUGUUGGGUUAAGUCCCGCAACGAGCGCAACCCUCGUCUUUAGUUGCCAGCAGUUCGGCUGGGCACUCUAAAGAGACUGCCUUCACAAGAAGGAGGAAGGUGAGGACGACGCCAAGUCAUCAUGGCCCUUAUGGCCAGGGCUACACACGUGCUACAACGGGGCGUACAGAGAGUUGCGAUCCCGCGAGGUGGAGCCAAUCUCACAAAGCGUCUCUCAGUUCGGACUGAAGUCUGCAACUCGACUUCAUGAAGCUGGAAUCACUAGUAAUCGUAGAUCAGCAUUGAGACGGUGAAUACGUUCCCGGGUC